UAAUACGAAGGGGGCUAGCGUUGCUCGGAAUUACUGGGCGUAAAGGGCGCGUAGGCGGACAGUUUAGUCAGAGGUGAAAGCCCAGGGCUCAACCUUGGAAUAGCCUUUGAUACUGACUGUCUUGAGUACGGGAGAGGUGUGUGGAACUCCGAGUGUAGAGGUGAAAUUCGUAGAUAUUCGGAAGAACACCAGUGGCGAAGGCGACGCACUGGCCCGUUACUGACGCUGAGGCGCGAAAGCGUGGGGAGCAAACAGG
This 256-nucleotide ribosomal RNA is filed under the name uncultured archaeon. Its description in RNAcentral is "partial 16S ribosomal RNA". It matches the Rfam family "Bacterial small subunit ribosomal RNA", at positions 521 to 776 of the family's 1533-position model. The record is from RNAcentral.